This is a long non-coding RNA of Cataglyphis hispanica, 409 nucleotides long. RefSeq lists it as uncharacterized. Lineage: Eukaryota; Metazoa; Arthropoda; Insecta; Hymenoptera; Formicidae. The record is from RefSeq and is a predicted model, not a curated record. The transcript has 3 exons.
AACGUGCGUUCGUUGGCAUGAUACAACAGUGCGUGUUUUACUUCCUUUCUACUCGAAAAACUGGAGAAGAACUGGAAAAACAAGUAUUGCAAAAGUAUUUGCAAAAAGCAAAUAUGACGAAACCUACCCAUGUGAUUUCUCACUCGUCACAUUAAAACCGGAGCACUUGUCGGCAUGUUUCUUUUCCAUUUCUUUUUUAUAUUUAAUUGCGUGUCGCUGAUUAUAUAAGCAAGCUACAAAAUUACUAUCUGAAUAUGACUAAGAUCAGAGAGAGAAAGAGAGAAUAUUCUUCAAAGGCUGACUGCUACAAGAGAUCCGCAAUUUAUAAAUAUGAUAGGAAGUUUUGUGUGCUGCAUGCAUUUUUUCAGUGCACUAUACAAAAUCAUAUUUUUUUAAUUUUAAUAAAAUU